Pelobates cultripes (western spadefoot toad) is the source of this 566-nucleotide non-coding RNA. The record is from the annotation of a GenBank genome assembly. Lineage: Eukaryota; Metazoa; Chordata; Amphibia; Anura; Pelobatidae.
CGGGGCUCACCUUCACCCCUCCAAGCCACAGCUGCAAACCGGGGAGCUGCACAGUUGAACACUCUGCUAGAUACCGCCGGAGCGGAGCCCCAGUGCCAGAACAGUUUUUGGGAGAUCAACACUGACAACAGGAGACACGUCCAUGCGCUGGGCAUUGGCUGAAGGACCUGCCUCAGGUGCACACGCCAUAAGUGCACCUGGAGGGCACAUUCACAGCCGCCGACACACGGACUUCCUACACCACGUAACUAUGGCUGUCCAAUGCAGAGAUUAAGUGCAUUAAAUGAACACUGUGGCCGACCAUUUAGCCUAUGUUAAUCCUCCCUAUGUUGCCCUUCUAUAACUGGUGCCGCAAGGAGGGUUCUCACACCGUGACCCCUACCGAUGUACGGCAUCGUAAGCUACUAAACAUAUGACAGUCACCCUCACUAAUUUUCUGAUCCUUAAAGCGAUGGUAUUUUAUGUUAAACUAAGAAACAAGCACGUUCGCAUUGUGGCCAAUCUGGUCAACUAAUAUGCAACUAGCAUGUAAAUAUAUCCUGACCUAAGCAGCAUGUAGCCAGGGC